This 262-nucleotide ribosomal RNA is filed under the name uncultured bacterium. Its description in RNAcentral is "partial 16S ribosomal RNA". It matches the Rfam family "Bacterial small subunit ribosomal RNA", at positions 92 to 354 of the family's 1533-position model. The record is from RNAcentral.
CGACCGGCGCACGGGUGAGUAACACGUAUGGAACCUGCCCGCAGCAGGGGGAUAAGCGGAAGAAAUUCCGUCUAAUACCGCGUAACACCGCGGAGGGGCAUCCCUCGGCGGUUAAAGAUUCAUCGGCUGCGGAUGGCCAUGCGGCGCAUUAGCUAGUCGGCGGGGUAACGGCCCACCGAGGCGACGAUGCGUAGGGGUUCUGAGAGGAAGGUCCCCCACACUGGUACUGAGACACGGACCAGACUCCUACGGAAGGCAGCAG